GGAUUAGAUACCCUGGUAGUCCACGCCGUAAACGAUGUCUACUAGUUGUCGGUUGUCUUGUACGACGGGUAACGCAGCUAACGCGAUAAGUAGACCGCCUGGGGAGUACGGCCGCAAGGUUAAAACUCAAAGGAAUUGACGGGGACCCGCACAAGCGGUGGAGCAUGUGGUUUAAUUCGAAGCAACGCGAAGAACCUUACCAGGGCUUGACAUACAGUGCAAAACUAUAGAGAUAUAGCAGAGGUUAACAUUGAUACAGGUGGUGCAUGGUUGUCGUCAGCUCGUGCCG
This 289-nucleotide ribosomal RNA is filed under the name uncultured bacterium. RNAcentral describes it as "partial 16S ribosomal RNA". It matches the Rfam family "Bacterial small subunit ribosomal RNA", at positions 775 to 1067 of the family's 1533-position model. The record is from RNAcentral.